CGCCUUGUGUCCCGGCUGACCACAGCGAA
RNAcentral lists this small RNA (29 nucleotides) under Bombyx mori (domestic silkworm). RNAcentral's name for it is "ovarian small RNA-14378". Lineage: Eukaryota; Metazoa; Arthropoda; Insecta; Lepidoptera; Bombycidae. The record is from RNAcentral.